RNAcentral lists this ribosomal RNA (497 nucleotides) under uncultured bacterium. Its description in RNAcentral is "partial 16S ribosomal RNA". It matches the Rfam family "Bacterial small subunit ribosomal RNA", at positions 28 to 507 of the family's 1533-position model. The record is from RNAcentral.
GAUGAACGCUGGCGGCGUGCUUAAUACAUGCAAGUCGAGCGGACAGAGGAGGUUCUUGCUUCUCUGAGGGUAGCGGCGGGGGGGGGAGCGAGUCGAGGAUAACCUACAUAGAAAGCUGGGAUAACUUCAGGAAAACGCAGCUAACACCGGAUAAGAUAAUAAACCACAUUAGUCAUUAGAGAAAGAUGGUCUUGGUGUGAGAGAUAGGUGGAUCAGCGACGCGUUAGCUAGUUGGUAAGUCAACGACUCGCCAAGGCAACGAUGCGUAGCCGAGCUGAGAGGGUGAUCGGCCACACUGGAAUGGUGACACGGUCCAGACUCUUACGGGAGGCAGCAGUAGUGAAACGUCCGCAAUGGGCGAAAGCCUGACGGAGAAACGCCGCGUGAGUGAUGAAGGUCUUCGGAUCGUAAAACUCUGUUAUUAGGAAAGAACAAUUGUGUAAGUAACUAUGAACGUCUUGACGGUACCUAAUGAGAAAGCCACGGCUAACUACGUG